Molecule: ribosomal RNA, 417 nt
Filed under: uncultured Glomeromycotina
Lineage: Eukaryota; Fungi; Glomeromycota
Description: SSU rRNA
Rfam family: Eukaryotic small subunit ribosomal RNA
Source: RNAcentral
GUACUAGCUUGCUGAUUCCUCCUUCUUGUAGAACCGUAAUGCCAUUAAUUUGGUGUUGCGGGGAAAUAGGACUGUUACUUUGAAAAAAUUAGAGUGUUUAAAGCAGGCUAGCGCCUGAAUACAUUAGCAUGGAAUAAUGAAAUAGGACGUUCGAACCUAUUUUGUUGGUUUCUAGGAUUGACGUAAUGAUUAAUAGGGAUAGUUGGGGGCAUUAGUAUUCAAUUGUCAGAGGUGAAAUUCUUGGAUUUAUUGAAGACUGACUACUGCGAAAGCAUUUGCCAAGGAUGUUUUUAUUAAUCAAGAACGAAAGUUAGGGGAUCGAAGACGAUCAGAUACCGUCGUAGUCUUAACCAUAAACUAUGCCGACUAGGGAUCGGAUGAUGUUAAUUUUUUAAUGACCCAUUCGCGCGCCUUACG